ACUCCUACGGGAGGCAGCAGUGGGGAAUUUUGGACAAUGGGGGCAACCCUGAUCCAGCCAUUCCGCGUGAGUGAAGAAGGCCUUCGGGUUGUAAAGCUCUUUCAGCAGGAGCGAAACGGUCGUUUUUAAUACAGACGGCUAAUGACGGUACCUGCAGAAGAAGCACCGGCUAACUACGUGCCAGCAGCCGCGGUAAUACGUAGGGUGCGAGCGUUAAUCGGAAUUACUGGGCGUAAAGCGUGCGCAGGCGGCGACAUAAGACAGAUGUGAAAUCCCCGGGCUCAACCUGGGAACUGUGUUUGUGACUGUGUUGCUAGAGUGUAGCAGAGGGGGGUGGAAUUCCACGUGUAGCAGUGAAAUGCGUAGAUAUGUGGAGGAACACCGAUGGCGAAGGCAGCCCCCUGGGUUAACACUG
RNAcentral lists this ribosomal RNA (415 nucleotides) under uncultured bacterium. Its description in RNAcentral is "bacterial SSU rRNA". It matches the Rfam family "Bacterial small subunit ribosomal RNA", at positions 335 to 742 of the family's 1533-position model. The record is from RNAcentral.